UAAAUCAUUUAUAAUAUAAAACACGGUGACAAACUUGUAAAUAAGUUUAAGACAUAUUAUAAAGUAGUUUUGUAAAUCAGUUAUAAUAUGAAACGCGGUAGCAAACUUGUAAAUAAGUUCAUAACCUAUUAUAACGGAGUUUUAAAAAUUAGUUAUAAUAUCUCAACUUUCUAAUAUUUCACAAUUCCCUAAUUUCAUUUCAACAUUGCCCUCGUCUCAUUCCUCUCCUGCUCUUCGUGUCUAAAGCUCCGACACUCCGCUAUUUGUGUCUAAAGCACGAUCAGCACCAUCAACACCACGCAUCUCUAAUUUCUCGACCCUCCUCCCUUCGAACACUCUAAGAACACUCUUCCGCGCGACUAUGGUUGUGGUUUAGGCUAUAGAGAGAAGGAAAGCUAGGUUAGGGGAAGGCGAAGGCUAGCAAACUUAAAGCACUGUUUCUACAUAGACUGCUUCUGCCUCCGCUGUUUGUCGAGAUCUGUGAAGUCUGACGAAGUAGGUUUUAUGAUUCAUAGUUCUACUAUUUCUUUUUUCCUAAUUUGUUAUGAUUUUCUUCUAUUAAUUGUUUGUUAUUUUUCUUCUCAAUUUUUUGUCACUGUUUUACUGUGAAAAGUAAUGUUAUCAUUUGUUGCUUUUUUAGAAUAUUUCAUUCGAACUAACGUUCUUAGUCCUUGGUUUUGGUCUUAUGGGAUACGAUUGCCCAAAUCUUGUUGUUGUUGUCAUUAUCAAAGGGAAAGGGCAGAAGAUUGUUCUUAUGACAUAUUGCAAUCGGGGUGUCGCAAUCGCUCAUUUUUGUUGUUGCCAGGUCACACCUGCACUAUUUUAGUGUAAGUGAAGUUAUUUUGAGUUAUAUUCAGCCCCUGCC
Molecule: long non-coding RNA, 865 nt
Filed under: Vigna radiata
Lineage: Eukaryota; Viridiplantae; Streptophyta; Magnoliopsida; Fabales; Fabaceae
Description: long non-coding RNA (VRAD_LNC014401)
Source: RNAcentral